This 375-nucleotide ribosomal RNA is filed under the name uncultured bacterium. RNAcentral describes it as "bacterial SSU rRNA". It matches the Rfam family "Bacterial small subunit ribosomal RNA", at positions 524 to 898 of the family's 1533-position model. The record is from RNAcentral.
GACGGGGGGUGCUAGCGUUGCUCGGAAUCACUGGGCGUAAAGCGCGUGUAGGCGGUUUGAUAAGCUGAAUGUGAAAUCCUGCGGCUUAACCGUAGAAGUGCAUCCAGAACUGUCAAACUAGAGUAUGGUAGAGGGCGGGGGAAUUCCCGGUGGAGCGGUGAAAUGCGUAGAUAUCGGGAGGAAUACCAGUGGCGAAGGCGCCCGCCUGGGCCAUUACUGACGCUGAGACGCGAAAGCGUGGGGAGCAAACAGGAUUAGAUACCCUGGUAGUCCACGCUGUAAACUAUGCCGACUAGGUGUCGCGGGUCUGACCCCUGCGGUGCCGAAGCAAACGCGUUAAGUCGGCCGCCUGGGGAGUACGGUCGCAAGAUUAAA